This is an RNA transcript of Oryza sativa Japonica Group (Japanese rice), 2143 nucleotides long. It is a transcript of the gene named putative cyclin-F3-2, with no coding region annotated. The record is from RefSeq and is a predicted model, not a curated record. NCBI's taxonomy places the organism in Eukaryota, Viridiplantae, Streptophyta, Magnoliopsida, Poales, Poaceae.
UAUAUAGCAAAAUCGAUUUGAUUAUGCUCUUCUUUUCUUGUCCUUUUUUCCGUUUUUGGCUUUGCCAAGAAAUUCCCGCUUAUGCACAGCCAUUUAGCCCAUUUCAAAUGGCCAACCAAACCGUCGUCUCAAUGAGACAAUAACCCCCCUCCUUGUCUGUUGACCAGUUGACCCCUCCUAAAACCCCAGCGAGAAACCAAAGCCGAAGCGGCGAAGCGCAACGCGAAGGCGGAGCCGACGCCGAUGGAAAGCAAGGCGAUCAACGCCGCCCGCGCGGUUGCGCCGCCGCCGCCUAUUAAUAGGUCGGGAUCGAAGGCGGCAACGCCAAGCUCCCCCACCACGCGAGGUUGGAUUCCCCACCGACUCCGAAGCGAAUAACGGAAUAACCGUCUCGACCCCUCGCCGCCGCGGAUGGCGAGGCCGAGGACGAGGUCGGUGGCCAGGAUGGAGGCCACGGCGGCGGCUGCGGCGGCGGCGGAGGAGGAGGAGGCGGGGAAUCCCGACGGCGCGGAGGGCGCGGCCGUCGUCGCCGUUGCUCCCGAAGCCGCCGCCGAAGGUCCGAACGAGCCGAACGCAGGUGAAGCUUCGAGGGAGCCGGACGCGGGUCAAGCUUCGAGGGAGCCGGACGUCGCUGGACCUUCGAGGCAGCCGGGCGCCGCUGGACCAUCGAGGGAGCCGGGCGCCGCUGGAGGUCCGAGGCAGCCGGGUGCGGCCGGAGGUCCGUGGCAGCUGGUCCCCAACGCGGCAGGGCCGGCGGUUGCGCCGUACGUUGAGGACAUCGACCGAUACCUCCGGUCUCUCGAGGCUGAGGAAUCAAGGAGGCCGAUAGUUAACUAUGAUCAGGAGAUACAAGGAGGCCACAUCAAUAUGAGGGGAAAGCUUGUGAACUGGAUGGAGGAACUGGUUUAUGGGUUCAAUCUUUGGGAUAACAUACUUUACCUUGCGGUUUCAUAUGUUGACCGCUUCCUUUCAAGAAAUGUCGUUAACAGGGAAAGGCUGCAACUUCUUGGUACCUCUGCAUUGUUCGUUGCUUCUAAGUAUGAAGACCGUUGCCAUCCUAGUGCAAGAUUCUUCAGUUCGAUUACUGCUGACACUUACACCACACAGCAGGUGGUGGCGAUGGAAGCGAACAUACUGAGUUUUCUGAACUUUCAGAUGGGGAGUCCCACUGUAAUAACUUUCCUACGGAGAUUCUUAUUUUCUUGUCGUGGAAGCAAUAGACCAAUAAACAUAAGACUGGAAUUGAUGUGUAUCUAUCUUGCGGAAUUGAGCUUGUUAGACGAUUACAACAUAAGGUUUCUUCCAUCGAUUGUUGCUGCUGCCUGCCUGUUUGUUGGCAAGUUCACACUCAACCCGAACACUCGUCCUUGGAACCUGUCGGUUCAACGCAUCACAGGCUACAAGGUCUCUGAUAUCGAAGAUUGUAUUCGUUCCAUACAUGAUUUGCAAGCGGGCAGAAAGUGGUCGAACCUUAGAGCCAUCAGAAGCAAGUACGAGGACGACGCGUACAGUUCGAGCGCGUGUCGACCAUUCCUUCACCAAAUACAAUCAAGCCGUCUUUCCUCAGGGAUCUCAAGUAUGUGAACGGCUGAAGUGCCCUUGCAGCAUCCUUGCAACCUGCAGGGUAGUGUGGAAAAAUACAUGGACAAUGAAUAGAAGAAUACAUCAUACACGUACUUUGUUGCCGAGUGAAGAGCUUCAAAACUAGAGACACGGCGCAGGUUAGCUGAAAUUUAGCAUUGGAAAGGAAUAAGUUUUAUGUUGUGAAUAAGAAGAACCAAUACUGGACAAAAAAGGAGCAAUGCAGAAAUGUUAACUGAAUUGAGGGAAUGUAGUUUCUCCCAUUUAAGGAAAGGAGGAUCCAAGGUACAGUUACUAGCAUAAUUAUUAGCAUAGUUUUUAUGAACCUAAGUUUCCAAUUGACUUGCAUUAUAGUGAACAGGACAUUUCACACCUGAUCCAAAUAAUAAUUGUUUCUAAUGAUUAUUAUGUUCUUAUAUGAAAAAGUUUAAAACACCAGAGAACUUAGAUGUUAUAAGCUGAGUAUACCAGAAAGUUUCCAUGCAACGUGAUUGAAUAAUUGUGGGCUACUUUUGAAUCAUAACAUCAGUUUACAAGGCAAAAGUCAAGAUAUAGCUGAACA